ACUCUUCAACCCUCCAAUUCCUUGUUUGAAUUGCGAGGUGUUUGGAUUUUGAGCGCUUUGCUGGUUUCUUUUCAAUAAGAAGCGUAGCUCGCUCGUAAUACAUUAGCACACUAAUCCCGAAUUGUUCGGAUUGACUCGGCGUAAUAGACUUUAUUCGCUGAGGACACCUUUCAUUAGGUGGCCGAACUAAUUCAAUCUUAUUAGUAGCUUCUAACUCACAAUUUGAAGUCAAAUUUCUAAG
Molecule: unclassified non-coding RNA, 241 nt
Filed under: uncultured Microbotryomycetes
Lineage: Eukaryota; Fungi; Basidiomycota; Microbotryomycetes
Description: sequence contains ITS2
Source: RNAcentral